Molecule: long non-coding RNA, 1401 nt
Organism: Photinus pyralis (common eastern firefly)
Lineage: Eukaryota; Metazoa; Arthropoda; Insecta; Coleoptera; Lampyridae
Exons: 3
Source: RefSeq, a predicted model, not a curated record
UGAAAAGCGACUGAUGCACAAAACACGUUUGCCUUUGGUGCUAAAAUCUGUUUAGCGCAGGUAUACCUACGUCCUUACGAUUUACGAAUCUUUUGUAACAAAUGAGUGUUACAAUGUUAAGGGUUCAAAACGUGCGAGGAACACAUUAGCUGCCAAUAUAACAUCACAAGAAAAUGAAGAAUUAUGUAUUAUCAAAAAAUAAUUGUUAGUUGGUGAAAACGGUCGCGGUCUGGUUUGAAGCUCUGCCUUCAUCGAGGGGGUGUUGACGGUAUUCAUCAGGAAUCCAUCAGUGGGUAAAACGAUUCCAGCGAUCUAAAAGAUUCUAAACAGAUUCAUUCGGAAACCAAUUGAAACCCAAAACGUUACAUCAAAAAUAUAAAUAGGAACUCCAGAUUCAGUAGAAACGUUGAGUGGAGAGGAAAACACGGACAAACUAUACCAUUACAGGGAAAUCUGUAUUUAUUUAUUUUUGCGUUGGUCAUGUUUGGGAAACUUUGCAUUCCGGUCGGUUCUCCAGCCAUAAAACAUUGUUACCAGCGUAGCAGCGGCGUCUUCCGUGGUUUUGCGUGAGUGAGGCCCCCGCCAGCAGAACCUAUAAAUACAAUCACCCUAAAUCACUUCGGAGGUCGUAUCAAGUCCUCCUCUUCGGUUGUGAGAUGGUGCGAAGAGCGUCGCUAUCAAUAAAACAUAAAUGCCGCUUUAAAUCACUUCCCAUGCCGCCGCAGCGGCCUCCUCCGUGAUUGUGCGGGGAAGAUGCCUCCGUCCGUUAUCUUAACAGUAUUCUAGGUGUUAUAUACUUAUGUGUGCAGGUGUUUUGUGUGUCCAUCCAUUCUUGUGUUGUCUAACUACAUGGCCAUUGUUUUUCUUCCGUUUUCUCCUUCCGACACCUGAUUUGACUUUUCGAAAAAUUUUUGCCGCCAUUCUUCUUCCGUGGACAGGGCGGUCACAUGUUUUUUAGGCAGCUGACCCCCGCACGCACCUGUUCGACAUCUCCCGCGCCACUGUGCUGCACCUGCAGUUAGAUAUAUUUUAUUUUAAACAAAGUUUUAAUUUUAGUUCAACAAGCUUUGAAUACAAAAUAUAUUUUAUAUUCAAAGGUUCAAGUGAGGAUACCCCUAGAGUUAUGCAACACAACUCACAUCAAACAGAAUCGAAGUACGGAAACACAUACGAAAUGCUAUGUAUAUGUUGUGUAUAGUGGUACACGAUAAAUUUUGUUUAUAUGCUAAAUAGUAUGCGUACUGCUUUGUGUGGCCAUUUGUACCUUUCGUGUUAAAUUUAUGCCCAUGCAAUUUAGAGCCAUGCCAUUUUGAUGUUGUUAUGUAACAUGAAAUUUACCAUUCAUAAAUUAAUAAACAAAGCCUAGCGCGACGCAGCGUAUGGAUUUCAUAGGGUUUUGAA